ACUCAAAUGAAUAGACGGGGGCCCGCACAAGCAGUGGAGCAUGUGGUUUAAUUCGAAGCAACGCGAAGAACCUUACCAGGACUUGACAUCCUGCUGACCAGCCUAGAGAUAGGCUCUCCCUUCGGGGCAGCGGUGACAGGUGGUGCAUGGUUGUCGUCAGCUCGUGUCGUGAGAUGUUGGGUUAAGUCCCGCAACGAGCGCAACCCUUGGAUUGUGUUGCCAUCAUUUAGUUGGGCACUUACAAUCGACUGCCGGUGACAAACCGGAGGAAGGCGGGGAUGACGUCAAAUCAUCAUGCCCCUUAUGUCCUGGGCUACACACGUGCUACAAUGGGCGGUACAAAGGGUUGCGAAGCCGCGAGGCGGAGCCAAUCCCAGAAAGCCGUUCGUAGUUCGGAUUGCAGGCUGCAACUCGCCUGCAUGAAGCCGGAAUUGCUAGUAAUCGCGGAUCAGCAUGCCGCGGUGAAUUCGUUCCCGGGCCUUGUACACACCGCCCGU
This 497-nucleotide ribosomal RNA is filed under the name uncultured bacterium. RNAcentral's name for it is "partial 16S ribosomal RNA". It matches the Rfam family "Bacterial small subunit ribosomal RNA", at positions 899 to 1397 of the family's 1533-position model. The record is from RNAcentral.